CCUUCCUUACUGUCACACAUUUCUCAUUCUUCUUCCUCCUCAAGUGAAUAAAAGGAGAAGGUCAAGCUCAAUUUCUUAAUCUCUCGUAUAGAGAUCAUUAAAGAUAGAAAAGAUGAGAGAGGAAAAGAAGAAAAUGAGAAGAGCGAAUGAGCAGAGGGAACAAAGAAAGAGAAAGAAGAACUUGUACGAAGAAAGGAGAAGGUAAGAGUCUUAUUCCAAGAGGAAGUGCUACUGAAGGCAUCUUUCCCUCCCACAAUUCUAAUAGCUCCAAGUGACUUAAGGCGAGAUUCUCA
Molecule: long non-coding RNA, 293 nt
Filed under: Vigna radiata
Lineage: Eukaryota; Viridiplantae; Streptophyta; Magnoliopsida; Fabales; Fabaceae
Description: long non-coding RNA (VRAD_LNC004117)
Source: RNAcentral